GGGGGGGUUAAACACCAUUCUGAAUCAUUAAAACAAAAAAAUGUGUUUGAGGAAGUUGGUUGUUUUUUGUAAUGUUCUCUUGAUUUUUAUCAUUUUUUUAGCUUUUCAAGUGGCUGCAAGGGAAUUACUUGAGCAUUCCACCACUGGUGUCACAGAUAAGAUGGAUAGGGAGCUCAAACAAACCAAUAAUUUUGAUGAUCCCUGGGGCCACGGUUAUAUUCACAAUUGAAGAUCCUAAUCUUACUGUUUGGUGUGCUAUUGAGCCCUUUGUGGUUCACUACUACUCUUUUCAUAUAAUUGUAAGAUGGUACUUUGUAAAACCAUGAUGGGUUAUUAUUAUGAAUAAAAUUCAACUCAAGGGUUUCCAUGGCUCUUGUUUUUAAUUUGUUUGUCCCCAUCCUUUGGGCUAGGUUUUGUGUUUCCUUUCCCUGUUUGGUUUCAUGGAAAAUAUUUGUAACAAUAUAAUAAUGAAAUAUAAAGUAAAUGGUGGGAGAAAUUCUUAAUUUCAGAU
Non-coding RNA from Camellia sinensis, 511 nucleotides. The record is from RefSeq and is a predicted model, not a curated record. NCBI's taxonomy places the organism in Eukaryota, Viridiplantae, Streptophyta, Magnoliopsida, Ericales, Theaceae.